GCUACACUUCACUGUUGAACUUAACCAAGGCUUUUCUUAUCCUGCUUUCAAGAAAAGUGCUUUCUCAUUCUGGUGCUAAAAGCAUCCAAGGUCUUCUUCCCAGAUGCUGCUUCUUUUGUCUCUUUCUCCCGAUGCAUCAAUUAAGAAUUCUUUGAUGACCGGAGCUUCCUCUGUCAGAGAGCUCAGUAUUCAUCAACUAAUUAACUCUCCAAAGAAAGCUGAGCUGCUCUGUCUGUCUGUGCUUUCUUACUCUCUCGGUGGCUCUUCUGCUUCCUGCUUCCUGCUGUGGCCCGAAGAGCAAAGUGGGGAGAUCACCCUCAGGGGCUGUAGGGCCUCAGGCUUCAGUUCAUGCUUUUGUUUUUCUAGUUAGGAGAGACCUUCCUUGAUAAAAAGCUAUUCAUUUCAUUACUCAGCCUUCCACAGAAGCAAGAAUUGUUAUUUUUCAGCUGGCUUCAAAAUGUCAAAUCUCUUGUCUAGAAUGAAAACCCAGCACUUGGAAGAUGUCAGCAUUCUUCAUACCAGAGAAGACCACCUGAGGCCAGACUAAAGGAACUGGAGAAGCUCAUCAAGAUUACCUGGGACCACAUGUAGGGAAUGCAGAUCCUGUACAUGCUCUAAUCAUAUAAGCAACCCCAUCCUUGAACUAUUGCCAUAAAACUCCUCACCAAACUACCCUGGAUGGGGAGACACAGUUUUUGAGGAUAGGAGCCCACUGUGUCC
Molecule: long non-coding RNA, 720 nt
Organism: Bos taurus (domestic cattle)
Lineage: Eukaryota; Metazoa; Chordata; Mammalia; Artiodactyla; Bovidae
Source: Ensembl